GGAGAUUAGAUUCAGAUUACUAAUAUUUAUCACAACUACUUAAUCGCCAAAUUGGAAUUAUAAGCAAUAUGUUAUUAUGACAAUUAUAUUUAUUUAACCAAUCUGAAUCUAAGAUGCCACGGGAAUAUCUACAUCAGUCGAUUGAUUUAUAAAUAGAUUAUAUUAAUUACAACAUAAUCUCAGGAGUUUCAGAGUUUUUCUGAUCAAACAUAAUUCUCGGAGCCUACUCCACUGAAUAUUGGAAAUAUAAAUUGUUUUCCUGUGCCACCAAGUUUAAGUGGUUUUAUUUUUUGCUUAGAUUGACUUAGGGAGGCUCAUCUGUAUAUAAACACAUAGUAUUUGACCGGCAAGAAGCCGGAGCAGUUGUGUUUUCGUUCUAAGAAACCGGUUUUCCGUCACUACCAUGAGAUAAACAAAACAAAAUUCGCACCUAUACAGGUGAAGUGGUAACACUAAUACCUAUUUGUUUAUAUAAAUAAGCGAACAUUUUCUCUUUUCUUUUUGCGCAACGUUUUUUGUUUAGUGAUGUCUAUCUUUUGCGUUGUGGCCACGGCACACAAAAAAUUUGAAAACAAAAUGACUCAGCUUUUAGUGCAAGAGCGACAAGAGCCCCAAAUAAGUGGACAUACUUGUAUGCAAUAUAUAAUGUACUCUAUAAUUUAGUACCACAUCCGAUUAGAAGUGUAUAGGUUUACUACUCGUAUCACUUCUAGCCCCGUUAAACAUUUUAUGGCGUAUAGAAAUGCCGCUAUCUGCUAAAACAAACAAGCAAACGUGUGAAACAACACGAAAGCCAAAGUUGGAUUUAUGCAAAACGCAAUAAGCCAGAGGCGACGAUUGUCAUCGGUGAAAACUAUGAGUUCGUGGACGCAUUUAUUAAGUUGGACGUGCCUGUAUUUCUAUACUUUUUUAAUAUUUUCAUAAUAAUAUUUAUUACAUUUAAGAUAUUUUUUAUUUUAAUCACGUAAGUACAUUCUUCUUUACUUUACCUAAAAUAUUUAUUAAUAAUUACAAGCCUGUUUAAAUGCAAAACUUAUUUUUUUUAUCUAUUAUCAUUGGGGGCCUAAUUUCUUACCCUCGACUGUGUGAACAUUUGUUUACUGUUUUCUAUAUCUAUGUGUGGAUGGAUUUUUGAUCCACACAAGAUUUGAUUACACUCCAUUGUAGUCUUUUAUUGCCUUUAGCAGGUCUAAUCGCACUAUCAAUAGAGGAAUUUUUUUGCGUCUUCCAACUUGUUUACUUAAUUAUUUAUAGAAAUCAGCUGCUUUUAUCAGCAAAACAAAGCGCUUGGAAAAAAGAAAAAGAUGGCAACUCUGGACCUUUAUUGGUGUACGUGCCGCCACACACACAAGUAAAGCCCAUCGAGUUGCAAGUAGAAGUUAAGUUAAGCGUCCAUAUUUUAAAUGGAAUUGCAAAAAUUAAAAUGUAUUUGCACGGCGGACUUGUCGAAAUUCGUGCAUACAUUUAGUAUGUAAAGUAAAUAUGCAGAAAACACAAAGGAGGCAACAGCCCCACACACGCAAAUGGGCUCUCAAGUGCAAUGGUGUUGGUGUGCUCGAUUGAAUGAACCUCCCUCAACCCAAAAAAAAUAGCAACAACAAACACAGCAGCGGCAAUGAUAAUACAUACAGCGCACUGUUUCAUUCAAGAGUCUAGCUGGCCCACGCACACGUACACAGGAACAAACAAAGUAAUCUUCCAGCUAUACAUGUCCCAAUUCGAAGUACCUUCAAGGCAAUAAAUCACUUUACUUCUUGGCCCUCAUAAUUUCGCAUUACUAGUCUUGUGUUUGAAAGAUGUAUAUAUAUUUAUAUAUGUUGGCAUAUUAAAUGAUUUUUAAUUUUAAUUAUGGAAAAUUUUCCAAAGCAAUUGACUCUUGUGCCCUUGCAUUGUAAUAAUGUCCAUGAUUAUUAUUAUUAAAUUGAUAAAGUUAUCAACUUUCUUCUCCUUCUUUUGCCUCUGAUGUGCCAUAAAUAGCAUUGAUUUCUUUUAUUAUCAUAUUAAAUAAAAUUGUUUCAAGUGUAAGUGCGGGAACACCAAGUAAAUGUCCAAUCAGACACUUGGCCUUUAUUGAUUUGUCCAGAAGCGGUUUUAAGUGAGCGAUUAAGUGUUUUGGCGGAAGUGCCAAAAGGUAAAUGAAAAACCAGGAAGCCAAGUUCUCUGACUUCCGCCUUUCCCCGCGCACAUAUGUAUAUAUGCACAUAUGCAUGUUGGGAUGCUUUAAUUUAGCAUCAUUCCAUCCCAAGCCCAUCG
Molecule: long non-coding RNA, 2253 nt
Organism: Drosophila yakuba
Lineage: Eukaryota; Metazoa; Arthropoda; Insecta; Diptera; Drosophilidae
Exons: 2
Source: RefSeq, a predicted model, not a curated record